AACUAGGCAAGCAGGCCCUCAGUUAUGCCACCGAAUACAUUAGCAUGGGAUAAUGGAAUAGGACCCUGUCCUCCUCUUUUCAGUUGGUUAAUUUAUGUGCGAGGAUCAGGGUAAUGAUUAAUAGGGAUAGUUGGGGGCAUUAAUAUUUAAUUGUCAGAGGUGAAAUUCUUGGAUUUAUGAAAGAUUAACUUCUGCGAAAGCAUCUGCCAGGGAUGUUUUCAUUAAUCAAGAACGAAAGUAAGGGGAUCGAAGACGAUCAGAUACCGUCGUAGUCUUAACCAUAAACGAUGCCGACCAGCGAUUAGGAGACGUUGAAUACAAAACACCGCUAAAGAUAAUUCAUUAUAUGGCUUCACGGCUGUAUGUGGUG
RNAcentral lists this ribosomal RNA (370 nucleotides) under Acanthamoeba sp. BRO6. Its description in RNAcentral is "SSU rRNA". It matches the Rfam family "Eukaryotic small subunit ribosomal RNA", at positions 764 to 1112 of the family's 1831-position model. The record is from RNAcentral. Lineage: Eukaryota; Discosea; Longamoebia; Acanthamoebidae.